Molecule: ribosomal RNA, 1550 nt
Filed under: Enterobacter kobei
Lineage: Bacteria; Pseudomonadati; Pseudomonadota; Gammaproteobacteria; Enterobacterales; Enterobacteriaceae
Also listed under: 1 other name
Description: bacterial SSU rRNA
Rfam family: Bacterial small subunit ribosomal RNA
Source: RNAcentral
AAAUUGAAGAGUUUGAUCAUGGCUCAGAUUGAACGCUGGCGGCAGGCCUAACACAUGCAAGUCGAACGGUAGCACAGAGAGCUUGCUCUCGGGUGACGAGUGGCGGACGGGUGAGUAAUGUCUGGGAAACUGCCUGAUGGAGGGGGAUAACUACUGGAAACGGUAGCUAAUACCGCAUAACGUCGCAAGACCAAAGAGGGGGACCUUCGGGCCUCUUGCCAUCAGAUGUGCCCAGAUGGGAUUAGCUAGUAGGUGGGGUAACGGCUCACCUAGGCGACGAUCCCUAGCUGGUCUGAGAGGAUGACCAGCCACACUGGAACUGAGACACGGUCCAGACUCCUACGGGAGGCAGCAGUGGGGAAUAUUGCACAAUGGGCGCAAGCCUGAUGCAGCCAUGCCGCGUGUAUGAAGAAGGCCUUCGGGUUGUAAAGUACUUUCAGCGGGGAGGAAGGUGUUGUGGUUAAUAACCGCAGCAAUUGACGUUACCCGCAGAAGAAGCACCGGCUAACUCCGUGCCAGCAGCCGCGGUAAUACGGAGGGUGCAAGCGUUAAUCGGAAUUACUGGGCGUAAAGCGCACGCAGGCGGUCUGUCAAGUCGGAUGUGAAAUCCCCGGGCUCAACCUGGGAACUGCAUUCGAAACUGGCAGGCUAGAGUCUUGUAGAGGGGGGUAGAAUUCCAGGUGUAGCGGUGAAAUGCGUAGAGAUCUGGAGGAAUACCGGUGGCGAAGGCGGCCCCCUGGACAAAGACUGACGCUCAGGUGCGAAAGCGUGGGGAGCAAACAGGAUUAGAUACCCUGGUAGUCCACGCCGUAAACGAUGUCGACUUGGAGGUUGUGCCCUUGAGGCGUGGCUUCCGGAGCUAACGCGUUAAGUCGACCGCCUGGGGAGUACGGCCGCAAGGUUAAAACUCAAAUGAAUUGACGGGGGCCCGCACAAGCGGUGGAGCAUGUGGUUUAAUUCGAUGCAACGCGAAGAACCUUACCUACUCUUGACAUCCAGAGAACUUUCCAGAGAUGGAUUGGUGCCUUCGGGAACUCUGAGACAGGUGCUGCAUGGCUGUCGUCAGCUCGUGUUGUGAAAUGUUGGGUUAAGUCCCGCAACGAGCGCAACCCUUAUCCUUUGUUGCCAGCGGUUAGGCCGGGAACUCAAAGGAGACUGCCAGUGAUAAACUGGAGGAAGGUGGGGAUGACGUCAAGUCAUCAUGGCCCUUACGAGUAGGGCUACACACGUGCUACAAUGGCGCAUACAAAGAGAAGCGACCUCGCGAGAGCAAGCGGACCUCAUAAAGUGCGUCGUAGUCCGGAUUGGAGUCUGCAACUCGACUCCAUGAAGUCGGAAUCGCUAGUAAUCGUAGAUCAGAAUGCUACGGUGAAUACGUUCCCGGGCCUUGUACACACCGCCCGUCACACCAUGGGAGUGGGUUGCAAAAGAAGUAGGUAGCUUAACCUUCGGGAGGGCGCUUACCACUUUGUGAUUCAUGACUGGGGUGAAGUCGUAACAAGGUAACCGUAGGGGAACCUGCGGUUGGAUCACCUCCUUACCUUAAAGAA